GACGUAGGAGGCGAGCGUUGUCCGGAUUCAUUGGGCGUAAAGAGCACGCAGGCGGUUUGGCAAGUCGGAUGUGAAAACCCGAAGCUCAACUUCGGGCCUGCAUCCGAAACUGCCCGACUAGAGGUAGGUAGAGGAGAUCGGAAUUCCUGGUGUAGCGGUGAAAUGCGUAGAGCUCGGGAAGAACAUCGGUGGCGAAAGCGCUCUACUGGACUGCAACUGACACUCAGGGACGAAAGCUAGGGGAGCGAAUGGG
This 253-nucleotide ribosomal RNA is filed under the name uncultured bacterium. RNAcentral's name for it is "partial 16S ribosomal RNA". It matches the Rfam family "Bacterial small subunit ribosomal RNA", at positions 524 to 776 of the family's 1533-position model. The record is from RNAcentral.